UGUCAGCUUCCCCAUCUUAGCAUGAUUGCAACUUGCCUCUUCUUAUCUUGCUGUCAAAGACCCACGUGAAGAUUGGAAGAUAAGAUUAAUUUGCUGUCAGCUUCCCCAUCUCAGCAUAAUUGUUUAAUUGCAAUUGUCUCUCUUUGGGGCUGCCUUGCCGUCAAACAUCAAGACCAAGUUUGAAGAAAAGUUCAAUUGCAACUUGCAAGCUCAUCUCAGUUUGCUGCCUUGUUGUCGUGGUUCCCAAUCCCAUCUCAUCUUGCUAUCUUGUCCAAGGUCAAGCUUCAAACUUGAAGAUCAAAAGAAGACCCCUCUUCAUCAUGGCUCAAGUAAGCUCAUACAUGACAUCUCUUUCAAAAAUUCAAUGGUUUUUCAUGGGUUCCCUUCGUAUGAGCAUGGGUUUACAUGGGCAAUCUGAAAUUAUGGGUAUGGGUUUUCGUUCUC
Molecule: long non-coding RNA, 444 nt
Filed under: Rosa chinensis
Lineage: Eukaryota; Viridiplantae; Streptophyta; Magnoliopsida; Rosales; Rosaceae
Description: sRNA RchiOBHm_Chr2g0164541
Source: RNAcentral